AUGAAAACAAGAGAAGAAAACUUUAUUCUCGCUGAAAAAAUUUUAAAAGAUAUAUAUUCACUGUCCUUAAUUCAAAAUAUUGAUAUAGAUAUUAUCCAAGAAGGAUUACUAAAACAUGUUAUGGAUAAUGAAGAAUCACACAGUGUUGUAUUCGAAGAAGAGAGUCAAAGUAGCGAGAAUGAAUUAGCAAUUUUAAAUGCAUGUUUAAAAUUAGAUAAGGAAAAACAUACAACAAAUAAUCGUGAACUAAGAUGUGUAAAUAUUAACAUAAAAAUAGAUUUACAUGAAAAAAAGAUUAGUUACUGUUUAGAUAGAUAUAAAAUUCACAAAUGUUAUAGUGAUAAAAUAACAAUUCUUUUGAAUAAUUUAGGUAAAGAAUGUUUAAAUCUUAAAGAAUGUGUAUUAUAUUUAUAUAAUUCAAUUAAUGAUUGUAAUUUAAUGAAAUGUGUUUGUUGGAUUGAUGGUAAAACUGAAGAUGAAUAUAAUAAAAAAGAACAAAAACAUUAUAUUGAAAAAAAAAAUAUAUCUCUUAAUUUGAAAACUGAUAAUUGUAAAAAAACGAAUAAUAAUAAUUUGGCUGUUACAAAAAAUGAUCAAUUAAACAACAAUAUAGAUGUUUAUAAAGAAAACAAUUUUUUAGUAUCCAAUAAUGUUAAGAUUGGUUUAGAUGAAUUAAAAAAAGAAACAAAUAAAUCUUGUCUUAAUAAACAUGUUGUUUUUUCGAACGACGUCGUUAGUUGUGAGUCAAGCAGCGUUGCUGUUAGUUCAGGUGAUAUACACCGUCCUGGUAUAUACCAGAACGAUAAGCACCAAACGGAUAUAAAAAAACACAACGAUAUAUGCAAUGCGCACAAUGAAGUGAUAAAAAAGGAGGAUAAUUAUUUUGGUAAAGGUGAAAAAGCAGAAAUAAUGGUAGAAACCGAAACAGAAGAUACAAUAUCAUUAUGUAACGAUUUUUCAAAAAAAACUGAAGAGACUAACGAAAGAAAUUUUAUUAAGAUUGAAAAUGAAAAUCAAAAAUUGUUAAAUAAUUUUUUAAAUGAAACUAAUACUUAUAAAAAAAAUAAAAUAUCUUGUUCGUUAAAAGAUACAGAACAAAUUAGUUCUUUUCUUAAAAAUGAUUUUUUUAUAAAAAAUCAUGAGUUAAAGAAUUUAUCUUUGUAUGAAAAAAUUGGUGGUUUAAAAAUUGGUGGAUUGUGUAAAAAAAUUGGUGGUUUAUAUGAAAAAAUUGAUGGUUUGUAUGAAAAAAUUGAUGGAUUUGAAAAAAUUGAUGGAUUUGAAAAAAUUGGUGGAUUUGAAAAAAUUGGUGGAUAUGAAAAAAU
Long non-coding RNA from Piliocolobus tephrosceles (Ugandan red Colobus), 1322 nucleotides. The record is from Ensembl. Lineage: Eukaryota; Metazoa; Chordata; Mammalia; Primates; Cercopithecidae.